CCAGACUCCUACGGGAGGCAGCAGUGGGGAAUAUUGCACAAUGGGGGGAACCCUGAUGCAGCGACGCCGCGUGAGUGAAGAAGUAUUUCGGUAUGUAAAGCUCUAUCAGCAGGGAAGAAAAUGACGGUACCUGACUAAGAAGCCCCGGCUAACUACGUGCCAGCAGCCGCGGUAAUACGUAGGGGGCAAGCGUUAUCCGGAUUUACUGGGUGUAAAGGGAGCGUAGACGGUUAUGCAAGUCUGAAGUGAAAGCCCAAGGCUCAACCAUGGGACUGCUUUGGAAACUGUAAAACUGGAGUGCAGGAGAGGUAAGCGGAAUUCCUAGUGUAGCGGUGAAAUGCUUAGAGAUCAUACAGAACACCGAUUGCGAAGGCAGCUUACCAAGCUACUUCUGACGUUGAGGCACGAAAGCGUGGGGAGCAAACAGGAUUAGAUACCCCCGUAAA
RNAcentral lists this ribosomal RNA (446 nucleotides) under uncultured bacterium. RNAcentral describes it as "bacterial SSU rRNA". It matches the Rfam family "Bacterial small subunit ribosomal RNA", at positions 331 to 794 of the family's 1533-position model. The record is from RNAcentral.